This 590-nucleotide long non-coding RNA is filed under the name Homo sapiens (human). Its description in RNAcentral is "HSALNT0119689". Lineage: Eukaryota; Metazoa; Chordata; Mammalia; Primates; Hominidae. The record is from RNAcentral.
CUGCCUGUGUUCUCUGACCUACUAGUGCCUGGGAUAUUUAUAGACCAUGUUCCAAGAGAAGAGAAGUCCACUCUAGGAGACCACCAGGAGGGAAGAGAUUGUUACUUUGGCACACUGGAACCUCAUCUGCCCAACUCCUUCAAAGUCUGGGAGACCUAUGAGUAUGGAGAGAAAACGACUUUCUGUGAAGUCACGUUUUACAAAAUUUGAAUUUGUUGCCAACCAUCUAUUUGGCCACAUCAGGUAAAAUUGCUUGCUAUUUUUCAUUUGAAAUGUUGCUGAUCCUUUAGUGGACUAAAGCUGCCUGGGUAUUUUAAAGGACAUUUGGGAAGAUAAUUUUCUAAAUGAUGAAGUCAAAAGGUGGCAGCCAUAUCUUUUCAGGAGUGCCCCUGGAUUUCAUCUGGAAAAGGUAGAAAUUUAGAUUUGGCUGCUGAUUUACUCAAGGCUCUGCUAAGGAAAGAUAGCAUUUUGCAAUUGUUUUGUGCUGGGAAUGAAAGCAAAUAAAGAGACCAGGAAUGGAAGUGGGAUGCCCACUUUAUCCUGUGGAAGGAGAACUUCAAAUUCCUCAUUUUGUCUUUUUUCUUACAAAA